UCCCAGGUGGCUCAGUGGUGAAGAGUCGCCUGCCUUGCAGGAGACCCAGGUUCAAUCCCUGGGUUGGGAA
Molecule: transfer RNA, 70 nt
Filed under: Ovis aries (sheep)
Lineage: Eukaryota; Metazoa; Chordata; Mammalia; Artiodactyla; Bovidae
Rfam family: tRNA
About the family: Transfer RNA (tRNA) molecules are approximately 80 nucleotides in length. Their secondary structure includes four short double-helical elements and three loops (D, anti-codon, and T loops).
Source: Rfam by way of RNAcentral